AACGAACGCUGGCGGCAGGCCUCAAACAUGCAAGUCUAGGGGGUGUAGCAAUACAUCACCGGCGGACGGGUGCGUAACGCGUGGGAAUGUACCUACUGGUUCGGAACAACUGAGGGAAACUUCAGCUAAUACCCGAAUAAGUCCUUACGGAGAAAGAUUUAUCGCCAGUAGAUCAGCCCGCGUUCGAUUAGCUAGUUGGUGGGGUAACGGCUCACCAAGGCGACGAUCGAUAGCUGUUCUGAGAGGAAGAUCAGCCACACUGGGACUGAG
RNAcentral lists this ribosomal RNA (270 nucleotides) under uncultured bacterium. RNAcentral describes it as "partial 16S ribosomal RNA". It matches the Rfam family "Bacterial small subunit ribosomal RNA", at positions 29 to 323 of the family's 1533-position model. The record is from RNAcentral.